RNAcentral lists this long non-coding RNA (1140 nucleotides) under Betta splendens (Siamese fighting fish). RNAcentral's name for it is "lncRNA (ENSBSLG00000015407.1)". Lineage: Eukaryota; Metazoa; Chordata; Actinopteri; Anabantiformes; Osphronemidae. The record is from RNAcentral.
GAACUUAGUCUGACAGCUCAGCUUUACCUGCAUCAUGCAACUGUACAAUUAACAUAUUAAGUUUACAGUAUUAGUAGUGCAGGGCUAAGAAUGCAUGAAUAAAUAAUUCAUCUGCAUUACAUUAGUCCUAAUAAUUUAUAUUAAUUGGUCUUGCACUCACCCCUCAAGAAUAACAUUAGAAUAAUGUCAUUUUCUAAAAGCCACUCCAUGUGGUGCUUUACAGUGACUUUGGAAAAGCUGAGAGGUUGUAGCUGCGCCCCUUAGCGUCUCUAAACUAAGCACAGCCUCUCAUCGCUUAUGGAUUAUAUCGAAUACAACCUUUCACCGCAAACAGCGGACGAGGAGCCGCGUGGAGUGGGAGGUACAGUAUGGGAAAGUCAGUGAGUUAACAGGAUGUUUGUCUCGCAAGAGGCCCUCAACUUGUGUAAUCUCGCUGUGUUUUGGGCGAGUUGAAAGGUUCAUCAGAGCUCAUGCCUGUGGUAAAGAGUCGCUAUAGCAACACUCACAUUGUUCUUUGUCUUUAUCUUUUAUUUUAUUUUAUCAUUGAGAAAAUAUGAGCUUCCUUCACUGUGUGUGUGUGUGUGUGUGUGUGUGUGUGUGUGUGUGUGUGUGUGUGUGUGUGUGUGUGUGUGUGUGUGUGUGUGUUAUGAGAGAGUGACGGCUUAGCCAAGUUGACAGGCUGGCACAGGGGGCAGGCAGGACAGCGACUGAACACGCUCAGAUCUGGGGAGAGGUGUCAGUCCUGCAGGCAGCCAAGCAGAAACACACAGGAGCACUUAGGAACAGAGAGCGUCCUUCAGGCCUCAGGACCUCAGCAGCUGUGUCAGCAAGCAUCCAGCCUGCAGAGGGGGUCUUUGAUCAACACACGGAGUCCCUACAAGCUGUUUUGCCGCUGACCCUGACCUCUGACCUUUGCGGAGCUCGAAGAACGCAGAGUGUCCCUACUGGGAUCAAUGGGGAACUACAGGAGUUCGCUUUAGUUCUGCUUGACAGUUUUCAACUGAAGACGGAACAGAACUGAGUGAACGCUUCACAUUCUCUGCUGCUCUGAUGGCAACUGCUACAGCAACUGAACUCUAUGUAUGCUAAUCAACAAAUGGACAUCAGAAUAAUAAAAUAAUAAUAAUGUUGUAUGAUACA